RNAcentral lists this ribosomal RNA (468 nucleotides) under uncultured bacterium. RNAcentral describes it as "partial 16S ribosomal RNA". It matches the Rfam family "Bacterial small subunit ribosomal RNA", at positions 28 to 507 of the family's 1533-position model. The record is from RNAcentral.
GACGAACGCUGGCGGCGUGCUUAACACAUGCAAGUCGAACGGAAAGACCCUGCUUUUGUGGGGUGCUCGAGUGGCGAACGGGUGAGUAACACGUGAGUAACCUGCCCUUGACUUUGGGAUAACUUCAGGAAACUGGGGCUAAUACCGGAUAGGAGCUCCUGCUGCAUGGUGGGGGUUGGAAAGUUUCGGCGGUUGGGGAUGGACUCGCGGCUUAUCAGCUUGUUGGUGGGGUAGUGGCUUACCAAGGCUUUGACGGGUAGCCGGCCUGAGAGGGUGACCGGCCACAUUGGGACUGAGAUACGGCCCAGACGCCUACGGGAGGCAGCAGCGGGGAAUAUUGCACAAUGGGCGGAAGCCUGAUGCAGCAACGCCGCGUGCGGGAUGACGGCCUUCGGGUUGUAAACCGCUUUCGCCUGUGACGAAGCGUGAGUGACGGUAAUGGGUAAAGAAGCACCGGCUAACUACGUG